This 483-nucleotide ribosomal RNA is filed under the name uncultured bacterium. RNAcentral's name for it is "partial 16S ribosomal RNA". It matches the Rfam family "Bacterial small subunit ribosomal RNA", at positions 29 to 507 of the family's 1533-position model. The record is from RNAcentral.
UUGAACGCUGGCGGCAUGCUUUACACAUGCCAGUCGCACGGCAGCGCGGGCUUCGGCCUGGCGGCGAGUGGCGAACGGGUGAGUAAUACAUCGGAACGUGCCCAGUAGUGGGGGAUAGCUCGGCGAAAGCCGGAUUAAUACCGCAUACGACCUGAGGGUGAAAGCGGGGGAUCUUCGGACCUCGCGCUAUUGGAGCGGCCGAUGGCCGAUUAGCUAGUUGGUGGGGUAAAGGCCUACCAAGGCGACGAUCUGUAGCUGGUCUGAGAGGACGACCAGCCACACUGGAACUGAGACACGGCCCAGACUCCUACGGGAGGCAGCAGUGGGGAAUUUUGGACAAUGGGCGAAAGCCUGAUCCAGCAAUGCCGCGUGUGUGAUGAAGGCCUUCGGGUUGUAAAGCACUUUUGGCGGGAACGAAAAGGACUGUGCCAAUACCACGGUUCGAUGACGGUACCCGCAGAAUAAGCACCGGCUAACUACGUG